AAACAGGAUUAGAUACCCUGGUAGUCCACGCCGUAAACGAUGAGUACUAAACGUUGGGUAAAACCAGUGUUGAAGUUAACACAUUAAGUACUCCGCCUGAGUAGUACGUACGCAAGUAUGAAACUUAAAGGAAUUGACGGGACUCCGCACAAGCGGUGGAUCAUGUUGUUUAAUUCGAAGGUACCCGAAAAACCUCACCAGGUCUUGACAUGCUUCUGCAAAGCUGUAGAAACACAGUGGAGGUUAUCAGUUGCACAGGUGGUGCAUGGUUGUCGUCAGCUCGUGUCGUGAGAUGUUGGGUUAAGUCCCGCAACGAGCGCAACCCUUAUUGUUAGUUACCAGCACGUAAUGGUGGGGACUUUAGCAAGACUGCCAGUGAUAAAUUGGAGGAAGGUGGGGAUGACGU
This 406-nucleotide ribosomal RNA is filed under the name Virgibacillus profundi. RNAcentral describes it as "bacterial SSU rRNA". It matches the Rfam family "Bacterial small subunit ribosomal RNA", at positions 770 to 1185 of the family's 1533-position model. Lineage: Bacteria; Bacillati; Bacillota; Bacilli; Caryophanales; Bacillaceae. The record is from RNAcentral.